RNAcentral lists this ribosomal RNA (253 nucleotides) under uncultured bacterium. RNAcentral's name for it is "partial 16S ribosomal RNA". It matches the Rfam family "Bacterial small subunit ribosomal RNA", at positions 524 to 776 of the family's 1533-position model. The record is from RNAcentral.
GACAGAGGGUGCAAACGUUGCUCGGAAUCACUGGGCGUAAAGGGCGUGUAGGCGGGAAGGAAAGUCGAGUGUGAAAUCCCCGAGCUUAACUUGGGAAUUGCGCUCGAAACUGCGGAGCUGGAGUGUGGCAGAGGAAGGUGGAAUUCCACGUGUAGCGGUGAAAUGCGUAGAGAUGUGGAGGAACACCGAUGGCGAAGGCAGCCUUCUGGGCCAACACUGACGCUCAUGCACGAAAGCGUGGGGAGCAAACAGG